RNAcentral lists this ribosomal RNA (465 nucleotides) under Vreelandella stevensii. Its description in RNAcentral is "partial 16S ribosomal RNA". It matches the Rfam family "Bacterial small subunit ribosomal RNA", at positions 338 to 795 of the family's 1533-position model. The record is from RNAcentral. Lineage: Bacteria; Pseudomonadati; Pseudomonadota; Gammaproteobacteria; Oceanospirillales; Halomonadaceae.
CCUACGGGAGGCAGCAGUGGGGAAUAUUGGACAAUGGGGGCAACCCUGAUCCAGCCAUGCCGCGUGUGUGAAGAAGGCCCUCGGGUUGUAAAGCACUUUCAGUGAGGAAGAACGCCUGGUGGUUAAUACCCAUCAGGAAAGACAUCACUCACAGAAGAAGCACCGGCUAACUCCGUGCCAGCAGCCGCGGUAAUACGGAGGGUGCGAGCGUUAAUCGGAAUUACUGGGCGUAAAGCGCGCGUAGGUGGCUUGAUAAGCCGGUUGUGAAAGCCCCGGGCUCAACCUGGGAACGGCAUCCGGAACUGUCAAGCUAGAGUGCAGAAGAGGAAGGUAGAAUUCCCUGUGUAGCGGUGAAAUGCGUAGAGAUCGGGAGGAAUACCAGUGGCGAAGGCGGCCUUCUGGACUGACACUGACACUGAGGUGCGAAAGCGUGGGUAGCAAACAGGAUUAGAUACCCGGGUAGUC